Molecule: ribosomal RNA, 406 nt
Filed under: uncultured bacterium
Lineage: Bacteria
Description: partial 16S ribosomal RNA
Rfam family: Bacterial small subunit ribosomal RNA
Source: RNAcentral
AUUGAACGCUGGCGGCAGGCCUAACACAUGCAAGUCGAGCGAGCGGCGGACGGGUGAGUAAUGUAUGGGGAUCUGCCUGAUGGAGGGGGAUAACUACUGGAAACGGUGGCUAAUACCGCAUACUAUCGGAUGAACCCAGAGGUGAUUAGCUAGUAGGUGGGGUAAAGGCUCACCUAGGCGACGAUCUCUAGCUGGUCUGAGCGGAUGAUCAGCCACACUGGAACGGAGACACGGCCCAGACUCCUACGGGAGGCAGCAGUGGGGAAUAUUGAACAAUGGGCGCAAGCCUGAUGCAGCCAUGCCGCGUGUAUGAAGAAGGCCUUAGGGUUGUAAAGUACUUUCAGCGGGGAGGCGUUACCCGCAGAAGAAGCACCGGCUAACUCCGUGCCAGCAGCCGCGGUAAUUC